This 254-nucleotide ribosomal RNA is filed under the name uncultured bacterium. RNAcentral describes it as "partial 16S ribosomal RNA". It matches the Rfam family "Bacterial small subunit ribosomal RNA", at positions 524 to 776 of the family's 1533-position model. The record is from RNAcentral.
UACGAAGGGGGCUAGCGUUGCUCGGAAUCACUGGGCGUAAAGCGCACGUAGGCGGGCUCUUAAGUCGGUGGUGAAAUCCUGGAGCUCAACUCCAGAACUGCCUCCGAUACUGGGAGUCUUCGAGUCCGGGAGAGGUGAGUGGAACUGCGAGUGUAGAGGUGAAAUUCGUAGAUAUUCGUAAGAACACCAGUGGCGAAGGCGACUUACCGGCUCGAUACUGACGCUAAGGCGCGAAAGCGUGGGGAGCAAACAGG